Molecule: long non-coding RNA, 116 nt
Organism: Sapajus apella (tufted capuchin)
Lineage: Eukaryota; Metazoa; Chordata; Mammalia; Primates; Cebidae
Exons: 3
Source: RefSeq, a predicted model, not a curated record
AUUUCAAAAAUGUAAAGCCUAACUAUGUGGUAGAAAAGAUAAAACCAUUUUGUGGGAAAAAAUUCAAGCCAGCUGCAGAAAUUUGUAUAAGUAACAAGAAGCUGAAUGUUAAUAGC